RNAcentral lists this ribosomal RNA (1008 nucleotides) under uncultured marine bacterium. RNAcentral's name for it is "bacterial SSU rRNA". It matches the Rfam family "Bacterial small subunit ribosomal RNA", at positions 62 to 1083 of the family's 1533-position model. The record is from RNAcentral.
GCGAGCUUUUUGGUAGUUUACUACUAAAAAUGACUGAGCGGCGAACGGGUGAGUAACGCGUGAGCAAUCUACCUUAGUUACUGGGAUAGCCCGAGGAAACUCGGAUUAAUACCGGAUAUUCUUAUUUUUUCACAUGAAGUUUUAAGGAAAGGUCAGCCGAACUAAGAUGAGCUCGCGUUCUAUCAGCUAGUUGGUGGGGUAAAAGCCUACCAAGGCUACGACGGAUAGCUGGUCUGAGAGGACGAUCAGCCACACUGGGACUGAGACACGGCCCAGACUCCUACGGGAGGCUGCAGCAGGGAAUAUUGUGCAAUGAGCGAAAGCUUGACACAGCGACACCGCGUGUGGGAUGACGGUUCUAGGAUUGUAAACCACUUUCAGGAGGGAAGAAAAUGACGGUACCUCCACAAGAAGACCCGGCCAACUAUGUGCCAGCAGCCGCGGUAAUACAUAGGGGUCAAGCGUUGUCCGGAUUUAUUGGGCGUAAAGAGCUCGUAGGCGGUUCAACAAGUCGGUCGUAAAAGUUUAGGGCUCAACCCUAAAAUGUCGAUCGAUACUGUUGUGACUAGGAUACGGUAGAGGUGAAUGGAAUUCCGAGUGUAGCGGUGAAAUGCGUAGAUAUUCGGAGGAACACCAAUUGCGAAGGCAGCUCACUGGACCGUGAUCGACGCUGAGGAGCGAAAGCUAGGGGAGCAAACAGGAUUAGAUACCCUGGUAGUCCUAGCCGUAAACGAUGGAUACUAGAUGUAGGAACUGGAUUGACGGUUUCUGUAUCGUAGCUAACGCGUUAAGUAUCCCGCCUGGGGAGUACGGUCGCAAGACUAGAACUCAAAGGAAUUGACGGGACCCCGCACAAGCGGCGGAGCAUGCGGCUUAAUUCGAUGAUACCCGUAGAACCUUACCUGGACUUGACAUAUAGGGAAAAACUGGAGAAACCCAGUGUGCGUAAGCGCCCUAUACAGGUGGUGCAUGGCUGUCGUCAGCUCGUGUCGCGAGAUGUUGGGUUAA